CCUACGGGAGGCAGCAGUGGGGAAUCUUGCGCAAUGGGGGAAACCCUGACGCAGCAACGCCGCGUGGGUGAUGAAGGCCUUCGGGUCGUAAAGCCCUGUCAGGUGGGAAGAAACUUGUGGAUGUUAAUACCAUCCGCACUUGACGGUACCCACAGAAGAAGCACCGGCCAACUCCGUGCCAGCAGCCGCGGUAAUACGGAGGGUGCGAGCGUUAAUCGGAAUUACUGGGCGUAAAGGGCGCGUAGGUGGUGCGUUGAGUCAGCUGUGAAAGCCCUGGGCUUAACCUGGGAAUGGCAGUUGAGACUGGCGUGCUGGAGUGUGACAGAGGACGGCGGAAUUCCCGGUGUAGCGGUGAAAUGCGUAGAGAUCGGGAGGAACACCGAUGGCGAAGGCAGCCGUCUGGGUUGACACUGACGCUGAGGCGCGAAGGCGUGGGGAGCAAACAGGAUUAGAUACCCUGGUAGUCCACGCCCUAAACGAUGCUCACUAGGUGUUGGGGAAGCGAUUCCUUGGUACCGUAGCUAACGCGUGAAGUGAGCCGCCUGGGGAGUACGGCCGCAAGGUUAAAACUCAAAGGAAUUGACGG
RNAcentral lists this ribosomal RNA (586 nucleotides) under uncultured bacterium. RNAcentral's name for it is "bacterial SSU rRNA". It matches the Rfam family "Bacterial small subunit ribosomal RNA", at positions 338 to 916 of the family's 1533-position model. The record is from RNAcentral.